RNAcentral lists this long non-coding RNA (2958 nucleotides) under Sus scrofa (pig). Its description in RNAcentral is "lncRNA (ENSSSCG00065006246.1)". Lineage: Eukaryota; Metazoa; Chordata; Mammalia; Artiodactyla; Suidae. The record is from RNAcentral.
CGGUUGCAUACUGGGGCUAAUUUUAGGUAUUACCCGCUUUGGAGUUUAUUUUGGCUUCCAGAAGUUUACAUUUAGGUCUGUAAAAAAGCACAACCUGCAGAGCUGUGUGUGUGUGUGUGUGUGUGUGUGUGUGUGUGUGUCUGUCUGUGCAUGUGAAACUCAUCAAACUUCUUUAAUAACUCUGAAUAUGACUUGUUUGGGCAUAUUUUCAAUGGAUGGCUAAUUUUGUGCCAGAAUUCAAAUGGAAAUUUAAACCAAAAGAGCUUGCAGAUAAAUAGCAGAGAUUGCUUGCUUUUCACCCCAUUUCUUCUGGUGGUAACUUUUCAAUUGUGAUUUUUUUUUUUUAACCCUCCAUAUUUUUUUUUUUGCCAGACUUUGAUUUCUAAAGCUUUAUUUUUAGUCUUUGUAAGGCACAGCAUUGAUUGAGCAUGCUGUGUUCUAAUUUUGGUAGCAAUUUUGUAGGUUAGCUCAGUUUCAUAGAAAUUAGAAAGCUGGGGCUCAUGGAAGUGACUUAUUUUAUCCACGUAGCAGGGGGUGGCAGAGUGGAUGAUGCCAGGGUCUGUGCUUCUUCAUCUCAAGGCUGGUGCUGUUUCCUUGGUGGGGCUCCAGGUCAAGUGUGAUCUGCAUUAAGGUCCUCCCGGGUGGAUGCUUGUGAAUGACCUGGGUGUGCACAGAACAGAGUGGGGCUCCAGAGCCUGUACAUGUUGCUGGGUGUGCAGUAAACACACAGAAAACAGUAUAUGCCCACCCUGCUCGUGAGGAGGGAGUUGCUGAGUCUACACUCUGUGCCAUCUACCAUGCAAUUCACCACAGUAAUUUCGAAUAGCUUCUUGGGUCUUGCAUCAUUUGUGAAAGUGAAGCAAACCUUCCUCUACUGUACAGAGACUGCAAGCACACCAAGGGGAGUUUCUGGACAGCUAGAGGACAUCUGAGGAGCACGGCUAAGCCUCAAACCCUCCUUAGGACUACUGUGAACCCCUAUACUUCUGCAGCUACAGUUCCAAAUUUCUGGGCUCCGUCCCAACAAAAUGUCUAGAAAAAUUUGCUCUAUUUUUGAUCCUCGUUUUUUUUUUUUCUCAUUUCAGAACAGUGAUGGCUUUUCCAGGUAAAGCAUCUUGUUACCUUAUAAGUUUCAUUAAAUAGAUGGCCUUUGAACUAGACCUUGCAGAAUGGGUAAAAUUUAUUUUGGAAAAGAAGUGAAAGAGGGCUAUCAGAGAGUGUUUUCAUGAAUGUAUAAGCCUGGAAUCUGGAUGUCUUUGAUAAGGAGCGAUAAAAGGGUACAUUUGGGUGUGGAUUAAUUCACUUACUCAGUAUAUACAUAUAUAUAGAAACCACAAUUUGAUACAGGAAAUAUAGCAAAGGAUUAGACCUGGUCCAGCUCUCAUGAUGUUCAGAGACAGUGAUGGUUCCGGGGGCAGAGAGACGCAGUGGACAUCAAGAGGUGGGCUAAUUCAUUAUUUGAAGAAUCUUCAAUGACACACAAAGGAGUUUGAAUUUUAUCCCAUCACUACUUAUAACAGCACUUUUUUUGACACUAAUCACAUGCUGGGCAGUAUUCACUAUUUAUUAUUGUAACAACCUUAUGAUAUAGAGAGAUAUUUGUUAUCUCCAUUUUACUGACAGGGAGACUGAAGCAUGGAGUAGGUACCUAACUUGGCUAAGGACUCAGAGCUAAUAAGAGGUAGAGUCAGGAUUGAGUCCAGGUAUUUUGGCUUCAGAGUCUAUAGUCUUAUCAUUUGUAAAUAUAUAAUAUGUGGCUAAAGCGAAGCUUUUUUAUAUGAAAAAAGUAAAACAAGGUUAAUGAUGUUGGGAAAAAUCAUUGGAAGAUGCAGCAGUGUGUAUCAGAGCCUGGACUAGACUCCACAAGGCUUUAGGUCCAUUGCUGCUUCUGCUCCACAUAGAGUGUGCACUAGUGUGCAAAAACUUUGUGGAUGCACUUGGAUAAAUUAAGAGAAAUAUGUUUACACUACAAGAGGUGGUAAUGCUGCAGUCCUUUUUUUUUUUUUUUUUUUUUUUUUUUUUUACUUUUUAGGGCCAAACCCAUGGCAUAUGGAAGUUUUCAGGCUAGGGAUUGAGUCGGAGCUGUAGAUGCCAGCGUACGCCACACCCAUCACCAGAUCCGAGCCAUGUGUUUGACCUACACCACAGCUCACAACAAUGCCAGAUCCUUAACCCACUGAGCAGAGCCAGGUUCAAAACUUGGAUUCAUUUCUGCAGUGCCACAAGGCUUGCUGCAUUCUUUUGUGCUGGUGAGACUAAUAGUGAGCAGUGAGAGGGUUCAGUUGUGUCUGUCUUCCUCUCCGAAUACAUCAGCUGGGGCCCAAAGUUAACAUAUCCAAAGGUAGAAAUGGUUUGUUUUUGUUGUUCCAAGCAAGGUCAAACUUGCAGAAAGGUGCGUUUGGUUGGGUGAGGAUGACCCAGCUAUCUCGAUGUCCUUUUACUAAUCACGGCAUACGAGGUGGUAGAGUCACAAAAUACCUCAUCGUCAGCUGCCUUAGAGACUAGCUUGACCUCCCCCAGGACUCGAUCUACUGUGAAAUGCAUUCAGGCACAGGGAAUAUCAGUGAAAAAACCCCAGGAUUUAUUCCUCUCUAAAAGGUGGCUUGGAGUGAUGUCACACGUAGAAAGUGGACUGAUUCAGUUCCACUCCCAGCAUUGUUUCAAUCGAGCUUGGCACAAAGAUGAUCAAUGCUGACUCAGAGCUAUGUCCAGAUGGAGAGAGAGCCUUCUAAACUAUCACAUCCAACCCAGUCCUGGUCUACCACUCCCCCUCGAGUCUCUAGAAUCCUCACUGUCCUAUCUAUAGGGUGCACCCAUUCCAGAGGAUAAGACUCCACUCAUAUUUGGUCCUUUGCCUUCCCAGCAGGACCCCAAAACCCCCUCACCCUUUCGUCUAUGCAGACUGGCACAGAAGAAAUGAUUCUGAAAAAUAAACUAGCUAAUCAUUAGAUGAAAGCA